AUUGAACGCUGGCGGCAGGCCUAACACAUGCAAGUCGAGCGAGCGGCGGACGGGUGAGUAAUGUAUGGGGACUGCCCGAUAGAGGGGGAUAAAUACUGGAAACGGUGGCUAAUACCGCAUACUAUCGGAUAACCCAUAUGGGAUUAGCUAGUAGGUGGGUUAAAGGCUAACCUAGGCGAGGAUCUCUAGCUGGUCUGAGAGGAUGAUCGGCCACACGGGGACUGGGACACGGCCCAGACUCCUACGGAGGCAGCAGUGGGGAAUAUUGCACAAUGGGGGCAAGCCUAAUGCAGCCAUGCGGCGGGUAUGAAGAGGGCCUUAGGGUUGAAAAGUACUUUCAGCGGGGAGGCGUUACCCGCAGAGGAAGCACCGGCUAACUCCGUGCCAGCAGCCGCGGUAAUAC
Molecule: ribosomal RNA, 403 nt
Filed under: uncultured bacterium
Lineage: Bacteria
Description: partial 16S ribosomal RNA
Rfam family: Bacterial small subunit ribosomal RNA
Source: RNAcentral